RNAcentral lists this ribosomal RNA (405 nucleotides) under uncultured bacterium. RNAcentral describes it as "partial 16S ribosomal RNA". It matches the Rfam family "Bacterial small subunit ribosomal RNA", at positions 28 to 526 of the family's 1533-position model. The record is from RNAcentral.
GACGAACGCUGGCGGCGUGCUUAACACAUGCAAGUCGAGCGGAGCGGCGAACGGGUGAGUAACGCGUGAGUAACUGCCCCCCUCUCUGGGAUAACAGUUGGAAACGGCUGCUAAUACCGGAUAGUGGGGGAUGACUCGCGUCCAAUCAGCUUGUUGGUGGGGUAGUGGACUACCAAGGGGACGACGGGUAGCCGGCCUGAGAGUGGGAACGGCCACAUUGGGCUGAGAUACGGACCAAACUCCUACUGGGGGCAGCAGGGGGGAAUAUUGCACAAUGGUGGAAACCCUGAUGCAGCAACGCCGCGGGCGGGAUGACGGCCUUGGGGUUGGAAACCGCUUUCAGCCAUGACGCGGUAGUGGCAGAAGAAGCACCGGCUAACUACGUGCCAGCAGCCGCGGUAAUUC